UGAGGCAGGAGAAUUGCUUGAACCCAGGAGGUGGAGGUUGCAGUGAGCCGAGAUUGAGCCACUGCACUCCAGCCUGGGUGACAGAGUGAGACUC
RNAcentral lists this microRNA precursor (94 nucleotides) under Pan paniscus (pygmy chimpanzee). Its description in RNAcentral is "miRNA (ENSPPAG00000012795.1)". The record is from RNAcentral. Lineage: Eukaryota; Metazoa; Chordata; Mammalia; Primates; Hominidae.